Halanaerobium saccharolyticum subsp. saccharolyticum DSM 6643 is the source of this 72-nucleotide non-coding RNA. The record is from Rfam. NCBI's taxonomy places the organism in Bacteria, Bacillati, Bacillota, Clostridia, Halanaerobiales, Halanaerobiaceae.
UGGGGUGUAGCCAAGCGGUAAGGCACUGGGUUUUGGUCUCAGGACGCGUAGGUUCGAAUCCUACCGCCCCAG